Molecule: ribosomal RNA, 435 nt
Filed under: uncultured bacterium
Lineage: Bacteria
Description: partial 16S ribosomal RNA
Rfam family: Bacterial small subunit ribosomal RNA
Source: RNAcentral
AGCGAACGCUGGCGGCAGGCCUAACACAUGCAAGUCGAGCGGGCGUAGCAAUACUUCAGCGGCAGACGGGUGAGUAACGCUUGGGAACGUACCUUUUGGUUCGGGACAACACAGGGAAACUUGUGCUAAUACCGGCUAAGCCCUUACGGGUAAAGAGUUAUCGCCGAAAGAUUGGCCCGCGUCUGAUUAGCUAGUUGGUGAGGUGACGGCUCACCAAGGCGACGAUCAGUAGCUGGUCUGAGAGGAUGAUCAGCCACAUUGGGACUGAGACACGGCACAAACUCCUACGGGAGGCAGCAGUGGGGAAUAUUGGACAAUGGGGGCAACCCUGAUCCAGCCAUGCCGCGUGGGUGAUGAAGGCCCGAGGGUUGUAAAGCUAUUUUGUGCGGGAAGAUAAUGACGGUACCGAAAGAAUAAGCCCCGGCUAACUUCGUG